UACAGAGGGUGCAAGCGUUAAUCGGAAUUACUGGGCGUAAAGCGCACGUAGGCGGUUUUUUAAGUCAGAUGUGAAAGCCCCGGGCUCAACCUGGGAAUUGCAUUUGAAACUGGGGAACUAGAGUGUGUGAGAGGGGGGUAGAAUUCCAAGUGUAGCGGUGAAAUGCGUAGAGAUUUGGAGGAAUACCAGUGGCGAAGGCGGCCCCCUGGCACAACACUGACGCUGAGGUGCGAAAGCGUGGGGAGCAAACAGG
RNAcentral lists this ribosomal RNA (253 nucleotides) under uncultured bacterium. Its description in RNAcentral is "partial 16S ribosomal RNA". It matches the Rfam family "Bacterial small subunit ribosomal RNA", at positions 524 to 776 of the family's 1533-position model. The record is from RNAcentral.